ACAUGCCACUAGCCCCGCAAGGCGCCUGACUCCUCUAAGGGGAACUCGUAAUGCUCACCAAAAGCCUCAGAAACCCUGGAACCUAUAAGACCGCACCACCGCGCAAACGGUGUCCCGGGCUGCGCUCCCGCACUGCACCGGCAGCCUAUGAGGCGAGGCCAACCCGGAGACUGCGCGCGACGGGCGUGCGUGCGUGCGCCCGCAGAUUCGCUUCAGGCGAACCAUAUAUUCAAGACCAAAGAUCAUAUCUCAUAAUGAGGAGCAGCAUAAGAUGGAAGCAGCUGAAUGAAUAAAACUGAGAUGAAAUAAUUUGUCCAAAGUUGUAUAUUUGGUAAGUGGUGGAGCCUAGAUAAGAAUCUAGGUUAGUGUAUUUCAAAAGCUGAUAAUCCCACUUCCUUCCCUGAUGUCCCUGAACGAUGAUAA
This 423-nucleotide long non-coding RNA is filed under the name Homo sapiens (human). RNAcentral describes it as "HSALNT0335386". The record is from RNAcentral. Lineage: Eukaryota; Metazoa; Chordata; Mammalia; Primates; Hominidae.